GUUGAAACACCAGUUCCCAUACAAUCACUGAAGUUAAGCAACUUCAAGCCUGGUUAGUACCUAGAUGGGUAACUGUUUGAGAAUAAGAGGUACUGUAAG
This is a non-coding RNA of Acanthosepion pharaonis, 99 nucleotides long. NCBI's taxonomy places the organism in Eukaryota, Metazoa, Mollusca, Cephalopoda, Sepiida, Sepiidae. The record is from the annotation of a GenBank genome assembly.